This 147-nucleotide non-coding RNA is filed under the name Chlorocebus sabaeus (green monkey). Lineage: Eukaryota; Metazoa; Chordata; Mammalia; Primates; Cercopithecidae. The record is from Rfam by way of RNAcentral.
GCCGGACGUGGUGGCGGCGCCUGUAAUCCCAGCUACUCGGGAGGCUGAGGCAGGAGAAUCGCUUGAACCCAGGAGGGGCUGGUUGCAGUGAGCCGAGAUGGCGCCACUGCAAUCCAGCCUGGGUGACGGAGCGAGACUCUGUCUUAA